Molecule: ribosomal RNA, 492 nt
Filed under: uncultured bacterium
Lineage: Bacteria
Description: partial 16S ribosomal RNA
Rfam family: Bacterial small subunit ribosomal RNA
Source: RNAcentral
AGUGAACGCUGGCGGUAGGCCUAACACAUGCAAGUCGAACGGCAGCACAGUAAGAGCUUGCUCUUACGGGUGGCGAGUGGCGGACGGGUGAGGAAUACAUCGGAAUCUACUUUUUCGUGGGGGAUAACGUAGGGAAACUUACGCUAAUACCGCAUACGACCUACGGGUGAAAGCAGGGGAUCUUCGGACCUUGCGCGAUUGAAUGAGCCGAUGUCGGAUUAGCUAGUUGGCGGGGUAAAGGCCCACCAAGGCGACGAUCCGUAGCUGGUCUGAGAGGAUGGUCAGCCGCACUGGAACUGAGACACGGUCCCGGCGCCUACGGGAGGGAGCAGUGGGGAAUACUGGACAAUGGGCGCAAGCCUGAUCCAGCCAUACCGCGUGGGUGGAAGAGGCCUUCGGGUUGGAAAGCCCUUUUGUUGGGAAAGAAAAGCAGCAGGUUAAUACCCCGCUGUUCUGACGGUACCCAAAGAAUAAGCACCGGCUAACUUCGUG